Molecule: long non-coding RNA, 2333 nt
Organism: Bombus pyrosoma
Lineage: Eukaryota; Metazoa; Arthropoda; Insecta; Hymenoptera; Apidae
Exons: 4
Source: RefSeq, a predicted model, not a curated record
GGCUUGCCUGAGGACUCGUGUAACAGUGAGAUUAUUGGCGCGCUUUUCUAAGUUCGGGGCCCCUCGGCUAUAGUCGGACGUGACGUCAUCGAACUUCGGAUUCCUCCGGAUUUCACAUCGCAGAAAAUGAUAGGACGUUAAAUCCACAGUGGCUUAUAUUAUUUAAUAAUAUUCGAAGAUUUACCGUACAGGAUUGUUUAGAAUAUUUUUAUUUCAUUAGCACUAUAACGAGGCACGACUGUCAUGAUGAUAUUGAUAGGAUUGAAACCAGCGUGAAUAUUCAUAUACAAGUUACAACCUAACCCCAAACAUAGUAAAAAAUAAACACAAGGUUACUUGCUAUUUGCAAUCAACGUCAUCAAUUAUUAUUCCACGAUAAUUUGACCCAUCUCUUCAUUUUCUUCCAACGAUAAUGUUACAAAUACUACAUAAAAGAAUUAAGUAUUACAAAACCUUGGUGAUCGUUAAGUGUAAUUAAGAACUGACGUAUUCAUUUGAUAUUGAAAAUAAUUUUUACUUAAAGCUUCGAUAAAGGUAAGAUUCAAUCGUGGAAUUUACCUUGAAGAAAAAGCGAGACAUUGAUACUAUUAUCGUGAAGAGAAAACCUCCCGUGGCUUAAAGCUCUUUCACAAAGCUUCGAGAAACUCAUUUUUCCGAGCUUGUACGCGGCUAUCCGACCAGAGAUUUCCAAGCUCGAUAACUUCUUAUUCACAUCAUUCAGUCACUCUGAAAUUCGUUAUUGACAUUAUAAUAAAUUCAUGAUAUUGAAAUCUUCUUUUUUCAUGUGUUAAUCUAGAUGCCAGUGUAAAAAUGGAAACCCUCUAAAAGGGGAAGCGAUCAUGAUUAAUACGCAAAAGUGCAAAAAUAUACGAAAUGUACACUGAAUAUGAAAAUAUACAGAAUAGAACAUUCAUUACGAUAUUCGGUAAUCGAGACGAAUUUUUGCUUAUGUUUCACUUCUUUAGUUAUAUUUAUGAAAAUAUAAAUUUCCAUAAACAUCUUCAGUCUAGUGAUAACAAAUGAUGAAAAACUAUUCCAUUGAAACUGUUGGUUAUUCCAAUGUAUUAGAUAGAUAGAAAAUUUUGUUGGUUCUUGCAUUACAUGAAAUAAAAUAUGAUGGUGUUCGAUAGAAACUAAUUCUAUAGAGUAACUACAGACGUCAUACUUCAAUAAUAUAUAAAAGAACGAUGGCUUUUUGUUUAUUUUAUGCCAAUAAUCGAAGUGGGAAAAUAUCAAAGAAUGAAAUCAUGUGUGUCGUUGUACAAGUUCAAGAAAGGUAGAGGUACAAGCUUGCAACGGCAUUUAUCCAGCGUAUGGUAAAGCUAUAAAUAAAAGAACAUGCUAGUGAUGGUUUAUUUGUCAUCGCCCUGAGAAUAUUUCUCUUCAAGACCAAUCGCAGUUAAAUGUCAAACGUACUUACUGAUGACUUCAUAAGCUCUAAGGACUUACAAUUCUCUGCAGAGGGAUCAGUUAAGAAAUAGAUGGAAAGGAGUCGUAAAAUUAAAUUGUUAAUGCGAAGUAUGAGGUCACAUUUUUUAAAUAAUGGAAAAGUUCGAUGCAACUUAACUACGAUCGACACUAAUACAACGAACAAUAAAACAUUAACACGAUGCAUUUUCUUAUGAAACUUAAUAUGACUGUAUAAUAAGCAAAUGUAGCCUAAAGCUACUGCAGCUACCCGAGGUUUAUUUCAAAGAAAAUUGAAACGAAGUAAGUAUGCAUACUGUUUGAAGAAUAGUAUGAGAUGCAUUUGUUCCAUUCACGUGUAAGACUGCAGAAAUGAGAAGUUGUGAACCCGACGGAAUUAAGCAUGAAACGAAAAUUUGAAACGAAAAAUCAAAUAUAUGGGUGGGAAUAUAUAGGAAAUAUAUGGGUAUGGCAGUAUGGAAGAGGCAGGAAAACUAUAAAAUUUUAUUGAUUGGAAGAAAUUAAGACAGGAAGGUACAUUAAACUGGUUAAUUCUUUCCCGUCCUUGAUGUUCAAUGUCUAACGAAGGAAAUUAUUCAUGAAGCCAGAUAAGAAGUAGUUAUGAAUUAAAACCAUGCGUGUGCGAUUUUAUUCCUGUGGAAGAAGUAUUAUAUGUAGAGACGAAUAGAAUGUCAGAGACGCAUGCGAUGAAUGUAAAAUAAUCCUCGCAUCUAUUUGAAUAAGAAAUUUUCUGCAGGACUUGGCUAGAUUAUGACUGACGCAAUUUCUCUUAAUUUUCAAAAAUAUUAAAUCAUAUACUGUAAAAAUCAAAUAGUUUUGCCCUUCUAGAAAAAUAAUUUAUAAUCUGCUUGUCAUACUAUACACUUCAACGCUAUUUAUAUAAAUUUACCAUCUUCACAAUUUAC